Molecule: ribosomal RNA, 585 nt
Filed under: Hepatozoon sp.
Lineage: Eukaryota; Apicomplexa; Hepatozoidae
Description: SSU rRNA
Rfam family: Eukaryotic small subunit ribosomal RNA
Source: RNAcentral
GUAAGGUAUUGGCUUACCGUGGCAGUGACGGUUAACGGGGAAUUAGGGUUCAAUUCCGGAGAGGGAGCCUGAGAAACGGCUACCACAUCUAAGGAAGGCAGCAGGCGCGCAAAUUACCCAAUUCUAAUAGCAUAAGAGAGGUAGUGACAAGAAAUAACAAUACAAGGCAGUUAAAAUGCUUUGUAAUUGGAAUGAUAGAAAUUUAAAUACUUUUUAAAGUAUCAAUUGGAGGGCAAGUCUGGUGCCAGCAGCCGCGGUAAUUCCAGCUCCAAUAGCGUAUAUUAAAAUUGUUGCAGUUAAAAAGCUCGUAGUUGAAUUUUUGCUAAAAAUAACCGGUCUGCUUUUAUUAAUAAAGGUGGUAUCUUGGUGUGUUUCUAGCAAUAAUGUCCUUUGGAAUGUUUUUUACUUUACUGUAAGAAGCAAUUUUCAGGAUUUUUACUUUGAGAAAAUUAGAGUGUUUCAAGCAGGCUAACGUUUUGAAUACUGCAGCAUGGAAUAAUAAAAUAGGAUUUUAGUUCUACGUUAUUGGUUUUAGGAGCUAAAUUAAUGAUUGAUAGGAGCAGUUGGGGGCAUUUGUAUUUAACU